This 490-nucleotide ribosomal RNA is filed under the name uncultured bacterium. Its description in RNAcentral is "partial 16S ribosomal RNA". It matches the Rfam family "Bacterial small subunit ribosomal RNA", at positions 30 to 507 of the family's 1533-position model. The record is from RNAcentral.
AUUGAACGCUGGCGGCAGGCCUAACACAUGCAAGUCGAACGGUAACAGGAAACAGCUUGCUGUUUCGCUGACGAGUGGCGGACGGGUGAGUAAUGUCUGGGAAACUGCCUGAUGGAGCGGGAUAACUACUGGAAACGGUAGCUAAUACCGCAUAACGUCGCAAGACCAAAGAGGGGGACCUUCGGGCCUCUUGCCAUCGGAUGUGCCCAGAUGGGAUUAGCUAGUAGGUGGGGUAACGGCUCACCUAGGCGACGACCCCUAGCUGGUCUGAGAGGAUGACCAGCCACACUGGAACUGAGACACGGUCCAGACUCCUACGGGAGGCAGCAGUGGGGAAUAUUGCACAAUGGGCGCAAGCCUGAUGCAGCCAUGCCGCGUGUAUGAAGAAGGCCUUCGGGUUGUAAAGUACUUUCAGCGGGGAUGAAGGGAGUAAAGUUAAUACCUUGGCUCAUUGACGUUACCCGCAGAAGAAGCACCGGCUAACUCCGUG